GUGGUUUCUAGGGGUUAGAGAUGGUGGGGAGAGAGGUGGUGUGACUUUUAGGAGGUAGCAGAGAGGAAAUGGGGUGAGAGUACAAGUCAUUAUCUUGAUUUGGGAGGUAAAUAUGAAGCUACACAUGUGAUGAGAAUGUACACAUUUGCUGAAUAAACUCUGUGGAUUGCAGAACUACUUUCCCGGUUUGGAUCUCAUGUUAUAGUGCUACAAGAGGCUACAGGUGUGACAUGGGAGAGGCUGUGUGAAGGGUUCACGGGUCCCUCUCUGUUCAUUUCUUUGAAACUUGCUGUGAAUUUGUAAUUAUUACAAAAUAAAGUUGCUGAAAACCCUAAAUUUAUCCUUACCUCAAAUUUGCUCCUCUUUAAGAAGUCCUUAAUUUCACAGCCACAGAUGGGAAAGUUAGACCCAGACAUCAGCCUAGGCUCCUCCUUAUCCCGCAUGAUCAACAACAACUAGUAAUAAUACAGUAAUAAUGUGAGCAACAUUGAAUGAUUCCUUUCUACCAGGCAUUACAUUAGAGCUUUCCAUGGUGGUCUAACUUCUUCCUGGCAGUAAAGAUAAGAAAACUGAGGAUUCAAAUAGACCCACCAAUGGGAAAGGGUCAGCAUAGCACCUUCUACCUGACUUUGUGGUCCAGUCCAGACCACCCCCUCUCCUGUCCUCAACAUUCCCUGGUUCCCAGCUCUGUGACAUCACGGAGCCUCUUGUCUACUCUGCCAACCGUGGCAGCCCAUCAAGACCUGGCUUCAAAGAUGCUCUGCUCAUGCUUCAGGGACUGA
RNAcentral lists this long non-coding RNA (782 nucleotides) under Fukomys damarensis (Damara mole-rat). RNAcentral's name for it is "lncRNA (ENSFDAG00000025134.1)". Lineage: Eukaryota; Metazoa; Chordata; Mammalia; Rodentia; Bathyergidae. The record is from RNAcentral.